RNAcentral lists this long non-coding RNA (2801 nucleotides) under Olea europaea subsp. europaea. The record is from RNAcentral. Lineage: Eukaryota; Viridiplantae; Streptophyta; Magnoliopsida; Lamiales; Oleaceae.
AAAGAAUUGAAAAUGCGAAAAACACCUAAAAUAUCAAUAGUUUGAAGGAAAAUCUUUCAUUUCCUCCAAAACUCUUAAACUGAGUUACCGAUCCUUUGAAGUAAAGUCUCAAUACUUUGCAUCCCAAGAACAGCCUCAGCAGCAGAGGUCUUCCUUCGAUUCUUCUUCAUAAUUCCCAAGAGGUAAAUUAAGGAUUUCUUCAUUGUUGCGAUUUUCGUCUUAUUUAUGCUUCAAAUGUGAUUUUGCUUAAUGGGUUUAGUGAUUGAACUGUUUUUUUUAUUAUUAUUUAGGUGUUAAUCGCAUGUUAUUUUGCUCAAUGGGUUUAUUUGGGUACAAUUAUUUUGAUCCAUCUCGGGAUUUUUUAGUAGAAGGGGAAAUGGCUGGAAGCUUGUAGUUGAACCGCUCCUUUUUUAUUCCAUUUUGGCUUUUUGAUAGAAUAUGAAAUGAAGUCCACCAUUUCAAACUAAAUGGAAUGAUGUCCUGACAAUCUUGCUCUACUUUUCUACUAUAGAAUUCUUGAAUCUGGUUUUGAAUAGAGCAAUGAGUUCAUAAAUGGGAAAUGGUGGAUGGGUAAACAAACACCCUUUCUAAGUGUAGUGGCAAGAUAGCACGGGAGGUCCGAAACAGAAAGUUUAAGGACACCCAAAUUGGAUUUAUGGGCUAGGAAAAUUGUGCAUUUGGAGACUAGAGGCAAGCACUGCGAAGGCAUUUUCAAUUCUUGAAAUUCUGCGUUCGCAGUCUUUUUGUGCUCACAUGAGAAAAGGGAUUGAAGUGAGGAUUGAGUGUGAAGAGUGGAUGAGUGGCUUUUAUAGGAGUGGGGCGUGUGGUUGGGUUCAUGCAUUUGCAGAGGUGGCUGGUUAAGGCUGAUGGAUGAGGAUUUUUAAAUGUAGCCGCUGGGGACUGCUGAUACUAAUAUUUGGGUUCACUUGGACAAAAUGUAUGACUGGAUGGGCACGUGUACUAAUAUCAGUAAGAAUUAGUGAUUUAAGCAUUCCACUAGCAAGUGGACUCGACAAAUGGUUGGAUAAGAAUCAGUGAUUUAAGCCUUCAAUUUUCACUUUGUAUGUUCAUUUUUAUAAGUAGAUAUACUUAUCUCUAUGUUUUUUUACAGAAAAAUAAAUCAAUAUUAACCGGUCACUUUAGUAUAUUAUUUUGGCCUUUUUUCUGCUGCUUCAUUUCUCCCCUGCAUAUUGGCCUCGGGGGCUGGCCAUCUUAGGGGCGAGUACAUUUCUUAAUAGGCCUGGGCAUGCAAUCUACUUGUGCAGAUAAAUAUGAUGUUCCAUUGUUGCAUUUACUCUAAUUUGUUGAUCCUAGUUGAUGAAUGGAAGAUUGCAUUUACUCUAACCAAUGUGAUUAUUGUUUUAUCUAAGAUCUUUUUUCGUUUCUGUGUCGUAGAGCUUGAGGCAAAGAUUCUUUAUUUUGUUUUAUUUCACUUUCUUAGCGUAGGGUGGGGUGCACUAAUUAGAAAUAGAUAAGUUCAUCUUCAUUUGCUUUUUAUAGAUGCAAUUUGAGGAAUUUGAAGAAUAAGAGACAAGUACUUUUAAAUCAUAUUAAUAGUGGGAUAGUUGGAAAAGACAAAUCAUAUGUAAUAUGAUUGAGAAAAUGAAAUAGCAGUACUACACCCAAUCUGGACAAGAAUUUGGAGAUGUUAUAUUAAUAGAAAGAUGGCAGGCAGUUGAACAUAGAGAUUAGGUGCCAAAGCUAAGCCCUUCUCAUGCUUGUAAAAUUAGGCGCUUUUCUAAUUCUUGUUCUUUCUUUCAAGCCCUGUUCUUUUCCGGGUUCUUGUAGUUUAUAGGUACGUGGCCUUUAGGUACCAGAUUCUUUUUUUGGGUUAUUUGUACUCUUUGAUUGUGGAUCUGUCUUGAGAAUUGCAUAAUUAUUGUAAGUUUUGUAUCAAGAUUUGAUUUUUGCACAAUGUUACCAUUACUUGAUCUCUGAUUACUCUUCAAAUAUGAAAUUAUUGGAUGCUAUUAUGAAACUGGUAUCUUUACUUUUUUGGGUGGCCCUUAAUUCAUGCUUCUAUUUUUUUCCCCCCAAGCUCACUUUUUUUUCAGGUUUUCUAGAAGUGAUUUUGAUUUUUAAUUCUUUAAGCUCUUAUAUUCAGAAAAGUAUUUGUUAGAAAUUGUGUGGUUGACCAGUAUUCUCUACUUGUGUAGUCUUUUUUGUAGGACCACUUCAAGUUAUUUCCUCUCUCUUCAUUUUCACAUGAGACAAUAGUUAUGAUAAAAGGAGCUUUUGAGUAUAUGGGGAGUUUGAAAUUUUCAUUUUUUGUUCUCAGAGAUUCAACUUUGUUAUAUUGAUUAUUGUUUCAAUUUUUAACAUGUUUGUUAUUUGGUAGCAUUGGAGGUGAAUAAAUGUUUUGAUGUUAAUAAAAAAGACAUCAUGGUUUUCUCGGAUUUAAUUAAAAGCAAAGUGAAUUUUUGCUCCUUCAAGCUUAUUUGUUGGUAGUGCCUUCUUCCUUUUUUUUGAGUUGUACCCAUGAAUAAUCUUUGGCCAUUGUAACAUACUGCUUCUAAUGCAGUGAAAUGUUGAGAUUUCCUAUUAGACGUAUAGAUGAGAUUCUUGCACUUCCUCAUUCAGCUUAUGAUUUCAAGGGUCUGAUAAGAGAUAAAAGGAGAUGAAACUUUAUGAUUUGAAGCAUAAGAAGAAACGGAUGUUAUUUUUUUAAUAUGAUACUUGAUUGUGAGUAUAAGACUACAAACAUUGGUGAUGUGCAAUUCAAUAUAGAAGGAAUUGUUUCACAAUUGUACAUACAAAUGUAUUGUUUACCUUAAAAGGACUAUAGAUUUUUUGAAGUAAUU